Molecule: ribosomal RNA, 301 nt
Filed under: uncultured bacterium
Lineage: Bacteria
Description: partial 16S ribosomal RNA
Rfam family: Bacterial small subunit ribosomal RNA
Source: RNAcentral
CAGCAGCCGCGGGAAUACGAAGGGGGCUAGCGUUGUUCGGAUUUACUGGGCGUAAGGGCGCGUAGGCGGGCGAAUAAGUCAGGGGUGAAAUCCCAAGGCUCAACCUUGGAACUGCCUUUGAUACUGUUUGUCUUGAGUUCGAGAGAGGUAAGUGGAACUGCGAGUGUGGAGGUGAAAUUCGUAGAUAUUCGCAAGAACACCAGUGGCGAAGGCGGCUUACUGGCUCGAAACUGACGCUGAGGCGCGAAAGCGUGGGGAGCAAACAGGAUUAGAUACCCCCGUAGUCCCUGUCUCUUAUACC